AUGUUAUCAAGAAAGGUGGAGGGAAUAGACCCUGUGAAACCUUAGCAACCCUUUGCCAGUCAGAGAAGGUGCUAAAUUCUACUCUUAAUUUUUAAGUUGAGAUAGAUAGCGA
Molecule: non-coding RNA, 112 nt
Filed under: Moheibacter sediminis
Lineage: Bacteria; Pseudomonadati; Bacteroidota; Flavobacteriia; Flavobacteriales; Weeksellaceae
Description: SAM-I sequence
Rfam family: SAM riboswitch aptamer (S box leader)
About the family: The SAM riboswitch is found upstream of a number of genes which code for proteins involved in methionine or cysteine biosynthesis in Gram-positive bacteria. The SAM riboswitch acts at the level of transcription termination control. The predicted structure consists of a complex stem-loop region followed by a single stem loop terminator region.
Source: Rfam by way of RNAcentral